Molecule: long non-coding RNA, 2805 nt
Filed under: Aquilegia coerulea
Lineage: Eukaryota; Viridiplantae; Streptophyta; Magnoliopsida; Ranunculales; Ranunculaceae
Description: long non-coding RNA (ACOE_LNC001927)
Source: RNAcentral
GCUUAACCAAACUAGUCCCACUGGCGAAGCUGCUGCAAACGAAUCACAACCGACGGUCAGACAACCUGUGCAAGUGUUGAGAGAGAGGUGCAGAGCUGAUGACAUAAAUCCUCUACACGGUUAUGGACCGGCUCUUUGUCUGGGAUUCGCAAAAUCAUAUCGGUUCAUGAAAUUAUCAGUUUUUAUGUCAUUACUUCAUGAAUGAUGUGCAGUUCACUGACCACAUUAAUAUAGACUCGGCUAGGGUCUAAGUUGAUUGAAGUUAAGCUCUGUACUCCACCAUUCUCUGACAAAUAUAGGUUUCCUGCAACUGACAUUUAUGUUUGUCUUCACAAAGCUCCAAUUUUUUGUCCACUGUCUACACUACACCGUAUCCUGGCAACUCCAUCUAAAUUGUUUGAUAUGCCCUUGAUCAAUGAGUAUUUCAACACUAUUACCUCAUUGUUUAGUGAAGUCUCGUUGGAAAACGGUUCUAGUGCAGUAUUAUUCAGAAGGGACAGUUUUGAGCAAACUUUCGACUUGAAUUGGAUUCCUUAAACGGGGCUCCACCUGAGCACAAAGGGAUGGUAAUGUUCCUUCUCAAACACCUCAGGGAAGUUACCAUGCAAUUGCGAUAUACUACUUCUAUGAACUUCAUUGUCAAUUGUAAGUGAGUGAAGGUUCCUAAUUUCCGUUUAAUUUUUGAGUGAGUAAAAAAACGAUAAACUUUUGAUUGUAUUAUUUUUACUGUUGUUUCUCCAAGUUAUUUCUUGUCAAUUAAAAUUGCGAUAGUAGUAGUGCUUUGAACGACUUCUUUUCAUAACCUGAAAUAGAACAGAUGUAGAUGUUUUAAACCGAUAACCAAUCCAGACUACCGAAAAUAGUUACAGAGAGAUCUCUGUUGGAGAAAAUGAACAAUUGUUGUGUUAGGAUUAUUUAUGUCAAAUACAUAAAUAAUAGUGUGUAGCUUCCAUUUGGCUAAAAGUAGAAAUAGAUUCAUAUCAGUACACUGCUAGCUACUCUAGAGUAGUAGAGUCUAGAUUAUACUAAACAGCUAGAAAACAAUAAUUUUGUCUUUAUUUUGGGGUCCAAUUAAUUUUUUUUUAUUCCAUACAACAUAUAGAUUAAAAAGAAAACCCUGUGUUUGAACAAAAUUUGAAUGCAAAUUUUGCAUUAGUCUCAUUUGUGAUUUUAGUUUUAGACUAAUGUAAUUACUAUAGAUCUUUGUUUCAUGCACUAAAUUUUAUUAUCUAUUUAUUUUUUUAAAAAAGUAAUAAUUAAUGUUUUUCAACUAAUUUACUCUGAUUAACUACAAUUAAUUAUGGCUCGAAAUAGAAUCAUCUCUAUAUUUUUUUCAUUUUUUUUCGAUCUCAUACUUAUUUUAUUUUUAUUUGGUUUCAUACUCUCUUCAAAAUAUGUUUGAAUCACGUUAUUGUAAAUUUACCCUAUCAUAUAUGCACUCCGAAAUAAAAUUAUUUUCUCCCUUACAAGCCUCGUCCUCUAUAAGAUGGUAUGAUCUGUAAUACAUCCAGAAGAUGUGCAUUCCACUCGUGUUAAUUAAAGUCUUUGGUAUGCCUCUAGUAUCUCAAGGUUCAUUCAGGUCAAAAUCUGUGAUAAAAUGGAUGUAUGCUGUAGAAAAUCUUCUUAAUUUUUUUUUAUUUUUUUUUGUAUUAGAAUUGGGCAUAGUGCAUAUACUUAUAUAGGUCUUACAUAGUUGAUGCAUUAUAUUUCAUGUAUUCUCAAUGUCAUACUCAUUCACUCAUAGCAGAAGUAUGAAAAAAAAGUACUCAAUUAAACAUUGGUUACUCUAUCUCUAUGUGGAUUUGAAGAAAAAAAAAGUAACUAAAAUUCAUUCCCCAUGUAUGAAUUAUAGUGCUAUAAUAUGUACAAGCAAUUUUUCUUGAUGAGUAUUGGAGUAUAGUCUGUGAUGUCGAAUUAUACGACUGAUCAGUGCCUUGAUCAUACUCCACCUAUUGUCAAGCUUCUCGCGCACAUUCUCAAACUUUUAUGCUUGAUGGCCUACUAUGGCGGAUCUUUCUUUAAAGUGUUUCUCCCUGGUCAUGUUAUCUUCCUUGGGUGAUGGCACAUAACUAACGACGUGUCUGAAACAUUCUAUUAUAAUUUGCGUCUAAAACAUUGAUACGUCUUGCAUGAAGAAGUAACCAGAUUCAAUCGGAUGUUUGGCUUUCUGCCUUGAAAAUCAAUGUUAGGAUCAUUAUGUUACUAAGCUAUAGGCCUGUGGCAACUAACAUUGUGUUUACUACGCUUCAUCUGACAUAUUUACUAAAUAAAAUUGCAUUGCUUAACCAAAGUAGUCCCGCAGAUGAAGCUGCUUCAAACAGAUCACAACCAACAGUCAGACAAUCUGUGCAAGUGUUGAGAGAGAGAGAGGCGCAGAGCUGAUGACAUAAAUCCUCUAGACCUCUACACCGUUAUGGACCGGCUCUUUGUCUGGAAUUCACAAAAUCAUAUCGGUUCAUGAAAUUAUCAGUUUUUAUGUCAUUACUUUGAAACAUGAAUGAUGUGCAGUUCAGUGAUCGCUUUAAUAUAGACUCAGCUAGGUCGUCUAAGUUGAGUGAAGUUAAGCACUGUACUCCACCAUUCUCUGACCAACACAGGUUUCCUGCAACUGACAUUUAUGUUUGUCUUGACAAAGCUCCAAUUUUCUGUCUACUGUCAACACUAUUACCUCAUUGUUUAGUGAAGUCUCGUUGGAAAACGGUUCUAGUGCAGUAUUAUACAGAAGGGACAGUUUUGAGCCAACUUUCGACUUGAAUUGGAAUCCUUAAACAGGGCUCCACCUGAGCACAAAGGGAAGGUAAUGUU